Molecule: ribosomal RNA, 526 nt
Filed under: Emarginula concinna
Lineage: Eukaryota; Metazoa; Mollusca; Gastropoda; Lepetellida; Fissurellidae
Description: partial large subunit ribosomal RNA
Rfam family: Bacterial large subunit ribosomal RNA
Source: RNAcentral
GGUCCCUUGUGAAAAAAAAAGAUUGGGGAUCUGACCUGCCCGGUGACUACUACGGUGGUUAAACGGCCGCGGUAUACUGACUGUGCGAAGGUAGCAUAAUAAUUUGCCUAUUAAUUGUGGGCUAGAAUGAAUGGUUUGACGAGGAUUUGGCUGUCUUUUUAAAAAAUAUUAAGAAAUUAUUUUUCAAGUGAAAAUUCUUGAAUGUAGCCGAGGGACGAUAAGACCCUGUCGAGCUUUAGUAAUGCUUAAAGUUUUUAUUAGAGUGUUUUGAGUAAGAUGCUUUGAGUGAAUCUUUGGUUGGGGCGACUUGGAAGUAAGGAAAACCUUCUGUUUUAAGUUUUUACUGAUAGGUGUAAGAUGAAACGUAAUAGUAUGUAGGUUGAAGAAAAAGCUACCGCAGGGAUAACAGCGUUAUCUUUUUGGAGAGUUCUUAUUGAAAGAAAGGUUUGCGACCUCGAUGUUGAAUUAAGAUAUCCUAGAGGUGUAGCAGCUUUAGAGGGUUGGUCUGUUCGACCAUUAAAAUCUU